This 465-nucleotide ribosomal RNA is filed under the name uncultured bacterium. RNAcentral describes it as "partial 16S ribosomal RNA". It matches the Rfam family "Bacterial small subunit ribosomal RNA", at positions 28 to 507 of the family's 1533-position model. The record is from RNAcentral.
GACGAACGCUGGCGGCGUGCCUAACACAUGCAAGUCGAACGGAAAGGCCCCUUUUGGUGUCCUCGAGGUGCGAACGGGUGGGUAACACGCCAGUAACCUGCCCUUGACUCCCGGAUAACUUCACGAAACUGGGGCUAAUACCGCAUAGGAAUCCUUGCUGCAUGGUGGGUGUUCGAACGCUUCGGCGGUUUUGGGUGGAGUCGCGGCCCAGCCGCUUGUUGGUGGGGUAGUGGGUUACCAAGGCUGUGGCGGGAAGCCGGACUGAGAGGGCGACCGGGCACAGUGGGACUGGGACUGGGCCCAGACUCAGACGGGAGGGAGAGGUAGGGGAGAGUGAACAAUGAGCGGGGGCGUGAGGCUGAAACGCCGCGUGCGGGAUGACGGCCUUGGGGUUGGAAACCGCUUGCAGCAGGGGCGAGGCUUGUAGUGACGGUACCGGGAGAAGAAGCACCGGCUAACUACGUG